UGUAGGCGGUGGGCGGGCGGGCCUAUACAUGCAAGUCGAACGAACUUCCGUGUAAUUGAUUAUGACGUACUUGUACUGAUUGAGAUUUUAACACGAAGUGAGUGGCGAACGGGUGAGUAACACGUGGGUAACCUGCCCAGAAGUAGGGGAUAACACCUGGAAACAGAUGCUAAUACCGUAUAACAGAGAAAACCGCAUGGUUUUCUUUUAAAAGAUGGCUCUGCUAUCACUUCUGGAUGGACCCGCGGCGUAUUAGCUAGUUGGUGAGGUAAAGGCUCACCAAGGCAGUGAUACGUAGCCGACCUGAGAGGGUAAUCGGCCACAUUGGGACUGAGACACGGCCCAGACUCCUACGGGAGGCAGCAGUAGGGAAUCUUCCACAAUGGACGCAAGUCUGAUGGAGCAACGCCGCGUGAGUGAAGAAGGGUUUCGGCUCGUAAAGCUCUGUUGUUAAAGAAGAACGUGGGUAAGAGUAACUGUUUACCCAGUGACGGUAUUUAACCAGAAAGCCACGGCUAACUACGUGCCAGCAGCCGCGGUAAUACGUAGGUGGCAAGCGUUAUCCGGAUUUAUUGGGCGUAAAGCGAGCGCAGGCGGUCUUUUAAGUCUAAUGUGAAAGCCUUCGGCUCAACCGAAGAAGUGCAUUGGAAACUGGGAGACUUGAGUGCAGAAGAGGACAGUGGAACUCCAUGUGUAGCGGUGAAAUGCGUAGAUAUAUGGAAGAACACCAGUGGCGGAAGGCGGCUGUCUGGUCUGCAACUGACGCUGAGGCUCGAAAGCAUGGGGUAGCGAACAGGAUUAGAUACCCUGGUAGUCCAUGCCGGAAACGAUGAUUACUAAAGUGUUGGGAGGGUUUCCGCCCUUCACUGCUGCAGCUAACGCAUUAAGUAAUCCGGCCUGGGGGAGUACGACCGCAAGGUUGAAGCUCAAAAGAAUUGACGGGGGCCGGCACGAGCGAUGGAGCAUGUGGUUUUAUUUCGAAGGCUACGCGAGAAGCUUUACCAGGUCUUGACAUCUGUCUGGACAGUCUGAGGAGAUUAGAAGGUUCCCUUCGGGUACGAAUGACAGGUGGUGCAUGGAUGUGGUCGUCGACCUCGUGUCCGUGAAAUUGUUGGAGUGUAGGUCCCGGCAACGAUCGCCAACGCGUUGAUUACUAAGUUGCCAACAUAAAGUGGCACUCUAAGUGAAAACUGGCGGGUGACAGACCCGGAGGAGUGGGGACCGACGUCGGAUUCAGCUCAGUGUU
RNAcentral lists this ribosomal RNA (1246 nucleotides) under Pediococcus pentosaceus. RNAcentral describes it as "bacterial SSU rRNA". It matches the Rfam family "Bacterial small subunit ribosomal RNA", at positions 28 to 1202 of the family's 1533-position model. The record is from RNAcentral. Lineage: Bacteria; Bacillati; Bacillota; Bacilli; Lactobacillales; Lactobacillaceae.